Molecule: ribosomal RNA, 200 nt
Filed under: uncultured bacterium
Lineage: Bacteria
Description: partial 16S ribosomal RNA
Rfam family: Bacterial small subunit ribosomal RNA
Source: RNAcentral
AGAGUUUGAUCCUGGCUCAGGAUGAACGCUAGCGGCAGGCCUAAUACAUGCAAGCCGAACGGCAAGCUUGAUAGCAAUAUUGAGCCUAGAGUGGCGUAAGGGUGCGUAACACGUAUGCAAUCUGCCCGCAACCGGAGAAUAGCUCCCCGAAAGGGGAAUUAAUACUCCAUAAGAUCACGCGAGGGCAUCCGAGAGUGAUU